RNAcentral lists this ribosomal RNA (253 nucleotides) under uncultured bacterium. Its description in RNAcentral is "partial 16S ribosomal RNA". It matches the Rfam family "Bacterial small subunit ribosomal RNA", at positions 524 to 776 of the family's 1533-position model. The record is from RNAcentral.
UACGAAGGGUGCAAGCGUUACUCGGAAUUACUGGGCGUAAAGCGUGCGUAGGUGGUUCGUUAAGUCAGAUGUGAAAGCCCCGGGCUUAACCUGGGAACUGCGUUUGAAACUGGGAGACUUGAGUGUGGCAGAGGGGGGUGGAAUUCCACGUGUAGCAGUGAAAUGCGUAGAUAUGUGGAGGAACACCGAUGGCGAAGGCAGCCCCCUGGGAUAACACUGACGCUCAUGCACGAAAGCGUGGGGAGCAAACAGG